UAACACGUAUGGGGCGAGCGUUGUUCGGAAUUAUUGGGCGUAAAGGGCGUGUAGGCGGUCUUAAAAGCUUGGUGUGAAAUAUCUCGGCUUAACCGAGAGGGUGCGCUGAGAACUGGAAGACUAGAGUUUUGGGGAGGAAGCUGGAAUUCCUGGUGUAGGGGUGAAAUCUGUAGAUAUCAGGAAGAACACCAAUGGCGAAGGCAAGCUUCUAUCCAAAGACUGACGCUGAGGCGCGAAAGCGUGGGGAGCGAACAGGAUUAGAUACCCUGGUAGUCCACGCUGUAAACGAUGUGCACUGGGCGUAGGUAGCGUUGGGCUAUCUGUGCCGUAGCUAACGCGUUAAGUGCACCGCCUGGGGAGUAUGCUCGCAAGGGUG
RNAcentral lists this ribosomal RNA (376 nucleotides) under uncultured bacterium. RNAcentral's name for it is "bacterial SSU rRNA". It matches the Rfam family "Bacterial small subunit ribosomal RNA", at positions 521 to 896 of the family's 1533-position model. The record is from RNAcentral.